UUGACCUCAAAUCAGGUAGGAAUACCCGCUGAACUUAAGCAUAUCAAUAAGCGGAGGAAAAGAAACCAACAGGGAUUGCCUUAGUAGCGGCGAGUGAAGCGGCAAAAGCUCAAAUUUGAAAUCUGGCGCCUUCGGUGUCCGAGUUGUAAUUUGAAGAUUGUAACCUUGGGGUUGGCUCUUGUCUAUGUUUCUUGGAACAGGACGUCACAGAGGGUGAGAAUCCCGUGCGAUGAGAUGCCCAAUUCUAUGUAAGGUGCUUUCGAAGAGUCGAGUUGUUUGGGAAUGCAGCUCUAAGUGGGUGGUAAAUUCCAUCUAAAGCUAAAUAUUGGCGAGAGACCGAUAGCGAACAAGUACAGUGAUGGAAAGAUGAAAAGAACUUUGAAAAGAGAGUGAAAAAGUACGUGAAAUUGUUGAAAGGGAAGGGUUUGAGAUCAGACUCGAUAUUUUGUGAGCCUUGCCUUCGUGGCGGGGUGACCCGCAGCUUAUCGGGCCAGCAUCGGUUUGGGCGGUAGGAUAAUGGCGUAGGAAUGUGACUUUACUUCGGUGAAGUGUUAUAGCCUGCGUUGAUGCUGCCUGCCUAGACCGAGGACUGCGAUU
This 597-nucleotide ribosomal RNA is filed under the name Meyerozyma guilliermondii. RNAcentral's name for it is "LSU rRNA". It matches the Rfam family "Eukaryotic large subunit ribosomal RNA", at positions 1 to 602 of the family's 3401-position model. Lineage: Eukaryota; Fungi; Ascomycota; Pichiomycetes; Serinales; Debaryomycetaceae. The record is from RNAcentral.